UAAGUAAAUAGUGAAAGCGUUCGGCUCAACCGGAUAAACAUUAUUUAAACUGCAAGCUAGAGUAUAUGAGAGGUCACUGGAAUUUCUAGUGUAGGAGUGAAAUCCGUAGAUAUUAGAAGGAACACCGAUGGCGUAGGCAGGUGACUGGCAUAUUACUGACGCUAAGGCACGAAAGCGUGGGGAGCGAACCGGAUUAGAUACCCGGGUAGUCCACGCCGUAAACGAUGGAUGCUA
Molecule: ribosomal RNA, 234 nt
Filed under: uncultured Candidatus Saccharibacteria bacterium
Lineage: Bacteria; Candidatus Saccharimonadota
Description: partial 16S ribosomal RNA
Rfam family: Bacterial small subunit ribosomal RNA
Source: RNAcentral